Molecule: long non-coding RNA, 1011 nt
Organism: Homo sapiens (human)
Lineage: Eukaryota; Metazoa; Chordata; Mammalia; Primates; Hominidae
Source: Ensembl
AGGAGCGGCGCGAGGCGGUCUCGGGUCCGGAGAGCCGAGGACAACGCGGCGACUGGGCGCAGGGUGCACCCGAACCUGAAAGACCUGGCAGGUACAUCCGCCUUGUCGGAGCCUGCUUCCUCGGAAAAAUGAGUUUUUCUUGGGGAUGAAACGAGAGGACUCUGACAACGCGCUCGGCACCGCAUCCCCAGGUUACUGUUACUGCCGUCGCCGCUGUCCAAGAGGGUCGCCCUCCACUCCUAGCGGCCCGGCUCCAGCGCCCAGUCUGGGAGUCCGCCCUACCUGCCGUCCUUAGCCUCCGGGGCCUGGCCAUCAUCGUCUGUGACGACCUGCGGCCGCAGGGGCCGGCGCUGUCGCAGCCCGUCCGCCUCGCUCAUGGUACGGGCGCCAGCCUCACCCGCAGAAACCACCUCACACUGAGCGGCGCCGGCUCAGACUCCAGGCCCGCCCUCCCCCGUACGCGGAAAUGACGUUGCGCCCAGGGACCAUUCCGCAGCGUUCUCCCCGCCCCUUCCGGCCUCAUGGGCGGGAGGUCCCCGGCGCGUCGUUGCUCGGCGCUCUGAGGCUAAUUCUGACCGCCCGGAAGUGGGGCUCGGAACCCGCUCAGAGAUAGCACCGGGAGCUGCCGGGGUCCCCGCCUGUCUCGGACUCCGGGGCCCAGAACGCGAGUGGUUCAACCUCGGGCUCGUCUAGCCCAGUGCCUGCGCAUGCCGCCUUCGUCUCACGUUUCUGAGGACGGGGAUGCUCAUGACGCACUUGGGAAUUGCUAGCACGAGAUGUUGGCCACUUUUAUCGUUGGAGAGGAUAGCGCUGUUUAUUCAGUGUCAGCGACCCUGCUCUUACAGGCAGCGUCAAAAAUAAUGCAUUCACACCCUUGGAACGAAGUCACCUCUGCCUGAAAAUUACAUCCUUCCCCGACUCAGCCGGUUAAGGGGAAAACUUGGGCUAGAAAAUGUUUCCCUCUGGUUAAGGCCAGAUGUUGAGUAUUAAAUCUUUUUGUGACGAUUACAA